CCUAGUGAACUGGUCUAUGUUCAGGGAAUUCCCCCGAAUGUUGACCUACUUUCUAGCAUAUGCUUGCUACCAUUUUUUUCCAAAAUAAGACAUCCCCCGAAAAUAAACCCUUUUGCGGUUUUUGGGGGGAAAACCAAUAUAAGACCCGGUCUUAUUUUCGGCGAAAGACGGUAUCAUCACUAAGGCGGCUGGGGUUAACAGGAGUUAUAGUGGAAUAGUUGAAUAUGUCUUAUAAAGUAACAGAAUGAGCACUGAUGCAUGUUGCAGGGACACCUAGAUUUACUUUUUAAAAUAAUUUCUCCCUGAAAUACAAUUCUGACAAGUCAUAGACGGACUAUAACAUAGCAAAACUGAAAUUCUCAUUAAAAGAAAAGGAUGAUCCCUAAUUGUAAUUUUAUUCUCCCUUUCAGUUGUCAUCGGAGCAUUCACUUUUCCAAUCUUGUACAGACAGAACAAGGUGAGUUCAUACAUAGUCUCAUUCUCGCACCCAAACUGUGACCUUAGCAUGGCACACAGACUGCAAGGAAACUACAAUUCCAUUCAUUCUACUCAGAAUUCCAGUCAUUCUACUCAGAAUGACUCCUCAGUCUGCCACCUGCAAGGAUUAGGUUGACUUCUGAAAAAUAGGGAUGUGCUGCCGAAUGCUGCCUAAGGAACAAGAACUCUGGGCAAUCUAAUGUCAGUUCUGCACAAAUGUGUCCCAUUCAUUGUCUGAAAGUGGUAAGAGGAUGCUUUCAGCCAAUUUACAGUGACUGGAGCCUUGGAGCUCAGUGGUGGGCCAGAUAAGAGGGCAAACUAUUACUAAAUGGUUUAACCCAUUACCGGGUAAAUGGGUAAAGGUAUUCCUAGCUGGCAUCAGCAUUAUAAGGUAAAGGGUUGAGUACCGACCUGGGGUUUUACUUGUCAGGGCUGUUUGAGAUUAAUGGGUUUAGGGUUAGAGUGGGCUUAAAUUUAGCUUUUAGGUGUUUUAGGGUUUAAUUUAGUAUUGGAGUACAUCAGAUAGUGUUUCGUUUUUAAGAAGAGUUAAACAUAGACUUAAGUUAAAGGGUUUAUAGUCAGUUUAAGGUUUUGAGUUCUGGCAUUUGAAGGGUUAUUUACAAAGAGCUCACCCUCCAAUGUCUUCUGUACACCAGUCAGAUUGAUGAUAUUAGAGGUACCGUAGCUGUUAUACAGAGUGCAUCGCUCAGUGCUGUCCUGCUCCUCCUGCAAGGCACUUCCUGUGUGAAAAGUUACUAGUGGGCAGAUGGGAAGUGAUCCCUUCCACUUCCUGUCCAGCCUCAAACAUGGACACUGGAGGAGCUGGGAGAGCACUGAGUGUUAUAACUGCUACUGCAGCUCUGCUACUGGACUACAGAGGGCACUCACCAAGGCUUCUGGGACGUAUCUCGUUCUCCAGCAGCCUAUCUAUGCUCAAAAAGGCAUAUUAUAAGUGAGAAAAACAGGCGCCCCCAAGUGGGCAGGUGACAAUUCUGCCUAAUGGGAUAUCCGGCCCUGCCUGUACUGAUGACGCCUGGU
Non-coding RNA from Pelobates cultripes (western spadefoot toad), 1515 nucleotides. The record is from the annotation of a GenBank genome assembly. NCBI's taxonomy places the organism in Eukaryota, Metazoa, Chordata, Amphibia, Anura, Pelobatidae.